Molecule: ribosomal RNA, 253 nt
Filed under: uncultured bacterium
Lineage: Bacteria
Description: partial 16S ribosomal RNA
Rfam family: Bacterial small subunit ribosomal RNA
Source: RNAcentral
UACGUAGGGGGCAAGCGUUGUCCGGAAUCACUGGGCGUAAAGCGCGCGUAGGCGGAUUGUUAAGUCGGGGGUGAAAUCCCGAGGCUCAACCUCGGAACUGCCUUCGAUACUGGCUAUCUUGAGUCCGGGAGAGGUGAGUGGAACUCCUAGUGUAGAGGUGAAAUUCGUAGAUAUUAGGAAGAACACCAAUGGCGAAAGCAGCUCUCUGGGACGGUACUGACGCUGAGACGCGAAAGCGUGGGGAGCGAACAGG